RNAcentral lists this ribosomal RNA (1470 nucleotides) under metagenome. RNAcentral's name for it is "bacterial SSU rRNA". It matches the Rfam family "Bacterial small subunit ribosomal RNA". The record is from RNAcentral.
AGAGUUUGAUCCUGGCUCAGGACGAACGCUGGCGGCACGCUUAACACAUGCAAGUCGAACGAGAGAAGAGGAGCUUGCUUUUCUGAUCUAGUGGCGGACGGGUGAGUAACACGUGAGCAAUCUGCCUUUCAGAGGGGGAUACCGAUUGGAAACGAUCGUUAAUACCGCAUAACAUAAUUGAACCGCAUGAUUUGAUUAUCAAAGAUUUAUCGCUGAAAGAUGAGCUCGCGUCUGAUUAGCUAGUUGGUAAGGUAACGGCUUACCAAGGCGACGAUCAGUAGCCGGACUGAGAGGUUGAUCGGCCACAUUGGGACUGAGACACGGCCCAGACUCCUACGGGAGGCAGCAGUGGGGAAUAUUGCACAAUGGAGGAAACUCUGAUGCAGCGAUGCCGCGUGAGGGAAGAAGGUUUUAGGAUUGUAAACCUCUGUCUUCAGGGACGAAAAAAGACGGUACCUGGGGAGGAAGCUCCGGCUAACUACGUGCCAGCAGCCGCGGUAAUACGUAGGGAGCGAGCGUUGUCCGGAAUUACUGGGUGUAAAGGGAGCGUAGGCGGGAUCGCAAGUCAGAUGUGAAAACUAUGGGCUUAACCCAUAAACUGCAUUUGAAACUGUGGUUCUUGAGUGAAGUAGAGGUAAGCGGAACUCCUAGUGUAGCGGUGAAAUGCGUAGAUAUUAGGAGGAACAUCAGUGGCGAAGGCGGCUUACUGGGCUUUAACUGACGCUGAGGCUCGAAAGCGUGGGGAGCAAACAGGAUUAGAUACCCUGGUAGUCCACGCCGUAAACGAUGAUUACUAGGUGUGGGGGGACUGACCCCUUCCGUGCCGCAGCAAACGCAAUAAGUAAUCCACCUGGGGAGUACGACCGCAAGGUUGAAACUCAGAGGAAUUGACGGGGGCCCGCACAAGCAGUGGAGUAUGUGGAUUAAUUCGAAGCAACGCGAAGAACCUUACCAGGUCUUGACAUCGUAUGCAUAGCUCAGAGAUGAGUGAAAUCUCUUCGGAGACAUAUAGACAGGUGGUGCAUGGUUGUCGUCAGCUCGUGUCGUGAGAUGUUGGGUUAAGUCCCGCAACGAGCGCAACCCUUACUGUUAGUUGCUACGCAAGAGCACUCUAGCAGGACUGCCGUUGACAAAACGGAGGAAGGUGGGGAUGACGUCAAAUCAUCAUGCCCCUUAUGACCUGGGCCUCACACGUACUACAAUGGCUGUCAACAGAGGGAAGCAAAGCCGCGAGGUGGAGCGAACCCCUAAAAGCAGUCUUAGUUCGGAUUGUAGGCUGCAACCCGCCUACAUGAAGUCGGAAUUGCUAGUAAUCGCAGAUCAGCAUGCUGCGGUGAAUACGUUCCCGGGCCUUGUACACACCGCCCGUCACGCCAUGGGAGUCGGUAACACCCGAAGCCUGUAGUCUAACCGCAAGGAGGACGCAGUCGAAGGUGGGAUUGAUGACUGGGGUGAAGUCGUAACAAGGUA